This 429-nucleotide ribosomal RNA is filed under the name Bacteroidota bacterium. RNAcentral's name for it is "Bacteroidetes bacterium partial 16S ribosomal RNA". It matches the Rfam family "Bacterial small subunit ribosomal RNA", at positions 355 to 776 of the family's 1533-position model. The record is from RNAcentral. Lineage: Bacteria; Pseudomonadati; Bacteroidota.
UAGGGAAUCUUCCGCAAUGGACGCAAGUCUGACGGAGCAACGCCGCGUGAGUGAAGAAGGAUUUCGGUUCGUAAAACUCUGUUGUUAGAGAAGAACAGCGCAUAGAGUAACUGUUAUGCGUGUGACGGUAUCUAACCAGAAAGCCACGGCUAACUACGUGCCAGCAGCCGCGGUAAUACGUAGGUGGCAAGCGUUGUCCGGAUUUAUUGGGCGUAAAGCGAGCGCAGGCGGUCAAUUAAGUCUGAUGUGAAAGCCCCCGGCUCAACCGGGGAGGGUCAUUGGAAACUGGUUGACUUGAGUGGAGAAGAGGAGAGUGGAAUUCCAUGUGUAGCGGUGAAAUGCGUAGAUAUAUGGGGGAACACCAGUGGCGAAGGCGACUCUCUGGUCUGUAACUGACGCUGAGGCUCGAAAGCGUGGGUAGCAAACAGG